UACGGAGGGGACUAGCGUUGUUCGGAAUUACUGGGCGUAAAGCGCACGUAGGCGGAUUUGUAAGUCAGGGGUGAAAUCCCGGGGCUCAACCUCGGAACUGCCUUUGACACUGCAAAUCUCGAGUCCGGAAGAGGUGAGUGGAAUUCCUAGUGUAGAGGUGAAAUUCGUAGAUAUUAGGAAGAACACCAGUGGCGAAGGCGGCUCACUGGUCCGGUACCGACGCUGAGGUGCGAAAGCGUGGGGAGCAAACCGG
Molecule: ribosomal RNA, 253 nt
Filed under: uncultured bacterium
Lineage: Bacteria
Description: partial 16S ribosomal RNA
Rfam family: Bacterial small subunit ribosomal RNA
Source: RNAcentral